Molecule: ribosomal RNA, 467 nt
Filed under: uncultured bacterium
Lineage: Bacteria
Description: partial 16S ribosomal RNA
Rfam family: Bacterial small subunit ribosomal RNA
Source: RNAcentral
GAUGAACGCUGGCGGCGUGCUUAACACAUGCAAGUCGAACGGAAAGGCCCAAGCUUGCUUGGGUACUCGAGUGGCGAACGGGUGAGUAACACGUGGGUGAUCUGCCCUGCACUUCGGGAUAAGCCGGGGAAACUGGGUCUAAUACCGGAUAGGACCACAUUUUGGAUGGUGUGGUGGAAAGUUUUUCGGUGUGGGAUGAGCUCGCGGCCUAUCAGCUUGUUGGUGGGGUAAUGGCCUACCAAGGCGUCGACGGGUAGCCGGCCUGAGAGGGUGUACGGCCACAUUGGGACUGAGAUACGGCCCAGACUCCUACGGGAGGCAGCAGUGGGGAAUAUUGCACAAUGGGCGCAAGCCUGAUGCAGCGACGCCGCGUGGGGGAUGACGGCCUUCGGGUUGUAAACUCCUUUCGCUAGGGACGAAGCGUUUUUGUGACGGUACCUGGAGAAGAAGCACCGGCUAACUACGUG